RNAcentral lists this ribosomal RNA (699 nucleotides) under uncultured Desulfobacterales bacterium. RNAcentral describes it as "bacterial SSU rRNA". It matches the Rfam family "Bacterial small subunit ribosomal RNA", at positions 8 to 680 of the family's 1533-position model. Lineage: Bacteria; Pseudomonadati; Thermodesulfobacteriota; Desulfobacteria; Desulfobacterales. The record is from RNAcentral.
AGAGUUUGAUCCUGGCUCAGAAUGAACGCUGGCGGCGUGCUUAACACAUGCAAGUCGCACGAGAACGCUUCAGCUUGCUGAAGUUAGUAAAGUGGCGCACGGGUGAGUAACGCGUGGGUAAUCUACCCCCGAAUUGGGGAUAACAUCGCGAAAGCGAUGCUAAUACCGAAUGAUAUCUUGAAAACUCUGUUUUCUGGAUCAAAGGUGGCCUCUACAUGUAAGCUAUUGUUUGGGGAUGAGCCCGCGUACCAUUAGCUUGUUGGUAGGGUAAUGGCCUACCAAGGCAACGAUGGUUAGCUGGUCUGAGAGGAUGAUCAGCCACACUGGAACUGACACACGGUCCAGACUCCUACGGGAGGCAGCAGUGAGGAAUUUUGCGCAAUGGGGGAAACCCUGACGCAGCAACGCCGCGUGAGUGAUGAAGGCUUUCGGGUCGUAAAGCUCUGUCAAGUGGGAAGAAAUCAUAUGGUGUUAAUAUCGCCAUAUGCUGACGGUACCAUUGAAGAAAGCACCGGCUAACUCCGUGCCAGCAGCCGCGGUAAUACGGGGGGUGCGAACGUUAUUCGGAUUUACUGGGCGUAAAGAGCGCGUAGGCGGUCUUUUAAGUCAGGUGUGAAAGCCCGGGGCUCAACCCCGGAAGUGCACUUGAAACUAAGAGACUUGAGUAUGGGAGAGGGAAGUGGAAUUCCUGGUGUAGCG